RNAcentral lists this ribosomal RNA (152 nucleotides) under uncultured beta proteobacterium. Its description in RNAcentral is "partial 16S ribosomal RNA". It matches the Rfam family "Bacterial small subunit ribosomal RNA", at positions 338 to 482 of the family's 1533-position model. Lineage: Bacteria; Pseudomonadati; Pseudomonadota; Betaproteobacteria. The record is from RNAcentral.
CCUACGGGAGGCAGCAGUGGGGAAUUUUGGACAAUGGGGGCAACCCUGAUCCAGCCAUGCCGCGUGUCUGAAGAAGGCCAUCGGGUUGUAAAGGACUUUUGUUAGGGAGCAAGUCCUGCAGGUUAAGAGCUAGUAGGGAUGAGAGUACCUAA